GAUUGUUUAAGACACUUGGUGUACCCAAUGGAUAGACCUAUUUCUUCUUUUGCAAGAUUUGUCAAAUUUUCUAGAGAAAGACACUUUAGAUGUUGCGAGUGAGAAACGCUGAUUGGGAGAUGCAUCAGGUCCUUCCAGCCUUCUAUAUAUAAACGUUCAAUCCUAGUGCAGCAUCCAUUAAUACAGUCACUGA
This is a long non-coding RNA of Juglans microcarpa x Juglans regia, 193 nucleotides long. RefSeq lists it as uncharacterized. The transcript has 2 exons. The record is from RefSeq and is a predicted model, not a curated record. NCBI's taxonomy places the organism in Eukaryota, Viridiplantae, Streptophyta, Magnoliopsida, Fagales, Juglandaceae.